GGGCCCGCACAAGCAGUGGAGUAUGUGGUUUAAUUCGAAGCAACGCGAAAAACCUUACCAGGUCUUGACAUCGAGUGAAUAACUUAGAGAUAAGUUAGUCCUUCGGGACACAAAGACAGGUGGUGCAUGGUUGUCGUCAGCUCGUGUCGUGAGAUGUUGGGUUAAGUCCCGCAACGAGCGCAACCCUUACCAUUAGUUGCUACGCAAGAGCACUCUAAUGGGACUGCCGUUGACAAAACGGAGGAAGGUGGGGAUGACGUCAAAUCAUCAUGCCCCUUAUGACCUGGGCUACACACGUACUACAAUGGCAAUUAACAGAGGGAAGCAAAGCCGCGAGGUGGAGCAAAUCCCCAAAAAUUGUCUCAGUUCGGAUUGUAGGCUGCAACUCGCCUACAUGAAGUCGGAAUUGCUAGUAAUCGCAGAUCAGCAUGCUGCGGUGAAUACGUUCCCGGGCCUU
Molecule: ribosomal RNA, 457 nt
Filed under: uncultured bacterium
Lineage: Bacteria
Description: bacterial SSU rRNA
Rfam family: Bacterial small subunit ribosomal RNA
Source: RNAcentral